GCCUUCGUAGCGCAAUAUGAUGGGGGGAUAGCGCAUCGGACUUCUAAUCCGACGGUUGUGAGCUCUGGUCUCUCCAAGGGCG
RNAcentral lists this transfer RNA (82 nucleotides) under Pelolinea sp. RNAcentral describes it as "tRNA-Arg". It matches the Rfam family "tRNA". From Rfam's summary of the family: Transfer RNA (tRNA) molecules are approximately 80 nucleotides in length. Their secondary structure includes four short double-helical elements and three loops (D, anti-codon, and T loops). Lineage: Bacteria; Bacillati; Chloroflexota; Anaerolineae; Anaerolineales; Anaerolineaceae. The record is from RNAcentral.